UACGUAGGGGGCAAGCGUUGUCCGGAUUUAUUGGGCGUAAAGAGCUCGUAGGCGGCUUGUAAGGUCGGGGGGGAAAGCCCGGGGCUUAACCCCGGGUCUGCAUUCGAUACGGGCUAGCUAGAGUGUGGUAGGGGAGAUCGGAAUUCCUGGUGUAGCGGUGAAAUGCGCAGAUAUCAGGAGGAACACCGGUGGCGAAGGCGGAUCUCUGGGCCAUUACUGACGCUGAGGAGCGAAAGCGUGGGGAGCGAACAGG
This 253-nucleotide ribosomal RNA is filed under the name uncultured bacterium. Its description in RNAcentral is "partial 16S ribosomal RNA". It matches the Rfam family "Bacterial small subunit ribosomal RNA", at positions 524 to 776 of the family's 1533-position model. The record is from RNAcentral.